CAAGGUUUCCGUAGGUGAACCUGCGGAAGGAUCAUUGUCGAUACCUGUCCCAAACAGAACGACCCGCGAACUCAUUAUCACCACUCUUGGCGGGCUGGUUUCGUAACCGAUCCCUUGCCCGCUGAAUCCGUGGUUUCGUGUACUGGUCUGAUCGUGAGUUUUCUCUCGGUUCGGUCAUGCACGUUGCUUCCGGAUAACACAAAACCACGGCACGAAAAGUGUCAAGGAACAUUAAACUGAACUGCCAACACUCGCCACCCCGGAAACGGUGUGUGCGCGUUUGUUGAGCUGUGAUCUAAAGUCUAAAACGACUCUCGGCAACGGAUAUCUCGGCUCUCGCAUCGAUGAAGAACGUAGCGAAAUGCGAUACUUGGUGUGAAUUGCAGAAUCCCGUGAACCAUCGAGUCUUUGAACGCAAGUUGCGCCCAAAGCCAUUAGGCCGAGGGCACGUCUGCCUGGGUGUCACAAAUCGUCGUCCCUCUCAUCCUUCACGGAUUUUGGGACGGAAGCUGGUCUCCCGUGUGCUUCGGCAAACGGUUGGCCUAAAUCCGAGCCAAGGACGUUGGAGCGUUCUGAUAUACGGUGGUGAAUAUGAUCCACUUGCAUAUUGUUUGGUCGCUCCUUCCCCGAAGCUCCCGAUGACCCAAAGUCUUCUAAGCGACCCCAGGUCAGGCGGGAUCACCCGCUGAGUUUAAG
This 696-nucleotide ribosomal RNA is filed under the name Paysonia lasiocarpa. RNAcentral's name for it is "eukaryotic LSU rRNA". The stretch from base 310 to 465 matches the Rfam family "5.8S ribosomal RNA". Lineage: Eukaryota; Viridiplantae; Streptophyta; Magnoliopsida; Brassicales; Brassicaceae. The record is from RNAcentral.